Molecule: ribosomal RNA, 766 nt
Filed under: Trichacis sp. OSUC 372841
Lineage: Eukaryota; Metazoa; Arthropoda; Insecta; Hymenoptera; Platygastridae
Description: partial 28S ribosomal RNA
Rfam family: Eukaryotic large subunit ribosomal RNA (bases 332-766)
Source: RNAcentral
GCGUCAGGGGUAAACUGAGAAACCCGAAAGAUCGAAUGGGGAGAUCAUCGUCAGCGGCGUUGGCUCCUGGGUGUGGCGUGAUGCUAUCCGCGGUAAGCGGGGCACGCGCUCGCCCGGUGUGUCCGGCGACGUCGGCGUGCACUUCUCCCCUGGUAGAACGUCGCGACCCGCUGGGUGUACGGUCUACGGGGCCGCGUCAUUAGACCGUCGCGCGCUCGUUUCGGCGAGCGUCGGCGGAGGCGCGGAUCUUAACCCGACCGACUGCCCGGCGGUAGUCGAAGAUGGUAUUGGGCCGCAGUUGAAUAAAAUGCGUUCAGGCCCGCCGCAAGCACGCUCGCGUUUCCCACGGGUUUACGGACACAGUGGCCGUACCCGGGGCCGGGCAGCUGUUGGCGCGCGGUGCCGCGAACUGGCUCUCGAAUUUGAUAUAUAAUACCAGUCGGCGACGCUAUCGCUUUGGGUACUUUCAGGACCCGUCUUGAAACACGGACCAAGGAGUCUAACAUGUGCGCAAGUCAUUGGGAUUUCAACGAAACCCACAGGCGAAUUGAAAGAGAAGGUCGUCGUCGCUUCGGCGGCGUUCGGCCAAGGGAUGAUGGGCCGCGUUGUUAUGCGGCCUCGCAAUCCCGGGGCGUCUCUAGCUCAUUGCGAGCUGAGGCGCACUUUGAGCGCACACGUUGGGACCCGAAAGAUGGUGAACUAUGCCUGGUCAGGACGAAGUCAGGGGAAACCCUGAUGGAGGUCCGUAGCGAUUCUGACGUGCAAA